CAAGAUAUAGCUAGUUAGUCCAAGCACCUCUUUUACACGGAGUCAACGUCUGUGCAAGUCAGGCUAUCUUGA
RNAcentral lists this transfer RNA (72 nucleotides) under Arbacia lixula (black urchin). Its description in RNAcentral is "transfer RNA-VAl". It matches the Rfam family "tRNA". From Rfam's summary of the family: Transfer RNA (tRNA) molecules are approximately 80 nucleotides in length. Their secondary structure includes four short double-helical elements and three loops (D, anti-codon, and T loops). Lineage: Eukaryota; Metazoa; Echinodermata; Echinoidea; Arbacioida; Arbaciidae. The record is from RNAcentral.